This 540-nucleotide long non-coding RNA is filed under the name Gossypium barbadense (sea-island cotton). Its description in RNAcentral is "long non-coding RNA (GBAR_LNC004543)". Lineage: Eukaryota; Viridiplantae; Streptophyta; Magnoliopsida; Malvales; Malvaceae. The record is from RNAcentral.
CAUCCUCGAAAGACGGCCGAGAUGAUGGUUCUGGACAUGUACAUUUGCGUGUAAUAGAUACAAUGAUCGAUAACGACUCUUGUGAGCUAGUCAUUAACACAGCUGGAUCCACAAUUCGCUUUCGACCAUCCUGGCUGCCAAAGGAUGCAUGUGAUAUGUAAUACAAGAUAUUUAGAAGUAAUAACUUUCUCCAAUUCUGAAGGAAAAAAGAAACAACAGAAAGUUCCAAAACUGAACACACUUUGACUGUGCAUUUGACUAGCCAUUAUCAUUGUGGUAAAGUUGUGUUAAUGGACUUCAUAGGUGAAAAAUAAGUUCCUUACCAUUUCAUUUAAAAGAAAUGUUUCUCCUUUUCCACUCACUAUAGGCCCAACAAGAGACUCUAGUAAUAUAAAUCCGAAGUUGUAAACAUCAUCCUCUAAAGUUUGCCUUUGGCUGCAACAAAAAUUUAAAUUAGAAUGUUUGAGGGGCAUGUCCAUCCUUUUAUGUAAAGAUGGAAGUCCAAUUUCAUUCAUGGUUGCAAGCUGAAAGUAUGGAUAC